RNAcentral lists this transfer RNA (73 nucleotides) under Caerostris darwini. RNAcentral's name for it is "tRNA-Met". It matches the Rfam family "tRNA". Rfam says of the family: Transfer RNA (tRNA) molecules are approximately 80 nucleotides in length. Their secondary structure includes four short double-helical elements and three loops (D, anti-codon, and T loops). Further hydrogen bonds mediate the characteristic L-shaped molecular structure. tRNAs have two regions of fundamental functional importance: the anti-codon, which is responsible for specific mRNA codon recognition, and the 3' end, to which the tRNAs corresponding amino acid is attached (by aminoacyl-tRNA synthetases). tRNAs cope with the degeneracy of the genetic code in two manners: having more than one tRNA (with a specific anti-codon) for a particular amino acid; and 'wobble' base-pairing, i.e. permitting non-standard base-pairing at the 3rd anti-codon position. The record is from RNAcentral. Lineage: Eukaryota; Metazoa; Arthropoda; Arachnida; Araneae; Araneidae.
GCCUCGGUAGCGCAGUAGGCAGCGCGUCAGUCUCAUAAUCUGAAGGUCGGGAGUUCGAUCCUCACCCGGGGCA